RNAcentral lists this ribosomal RNA (468 nucleotides) under uncultured bacterium. RNAcentral describes it as "partial 16S ribosomal RNA". It matches the Rfam family "Bacterial small subunit ribosomal RNA", at positions 28 to 507 of the family's 1533-position model. The record is from RNAcentral.
GACGAACGCUGGCGGCGUGCUUAACACAUGCAAGUCGAACGGAAAGGCCCUGCUUUUGUGGGGUGCUCGAGUGGCGAACGGGUGAGUAACACGUGAGUAACCUGCCCUUGACUUUGGGAUAACUUCAGGAAACUGGGGCUAAUACCGGAUAGGAGCUCCUGCUGCAUGGUGGGGGUUGGAAAGUUUCGGCGGUUGGGGAUGGACUCGCGGCUUAUCAGCUUGUUGGUGGGGUAGUGGCUUACCAAGGCUUUGACGGGUAGCCGGCCUGAGAGGGUGACCGGCCACAUGGGGACUGGGAUACGGCCCAGACUCCUACGGGAGGCAGCAGUGGGGAAUAUUGCAAAAUGGGCGGAAGCCUGAUGCAGCAACGCCGCGGGCGGGAGGACGGCCUUCGGGUGUUAAACCGCUUUCGCCUGUGACGAAGGGUGAGUGACGGUAAUGGGUAAAGAAGCACAGGCUAACUACGUG